Non-coding RNA from Acanthosepion pharaonis, 96 nucleotides. Lineage: Eukaryota; Metazoa; Mollusca; Cephalopoda; Sepiida; Sepiidae. The record is from the annotation of a GenBank genome assembly.
UAACCACCAGUUCUCAUACAAUCACCAAAAUUAAGCAGCGUUGAGCCUGGUCAGUACUUAGAUGGGUGACUGCUUGGGAAUACCAGGUGCUGUAAG